GACGAACGCUGGCGGCGUGCCUAAUACAUGCCAGUAGAACGCUGAAGGAGGAGCUUGCUUCUCUGGAUGAGUUGCGAACGGGUGAGUAACGCGUAGGUAACCUGCCUGGUAGCGGGGGAUAACUAUUGGAAACGAUAGCUAAUACCGCAUAAUAGUAGAUGUCGCAUGACAUUUGCUUAAAAGGUGCAAUUGCAUCACUACCAGAUGGACCUGCGUUGUAUUAGCUAGUUGGUGAGGUAACGGCUCACCAAGGCAACGAUACAUAGCCGACCUGAGAGGGGGAACGGGCAAGCUGGGACGGGGACACGGGCCAGAAGCCUACGGGGGGGAGCCGGAGGGGAAUCUUGGGGAAGGAAGGAAAGUCGAACGGGGAACGCCGGGUGAGGGAAGAAGGGUUUCGGAUCGUAAAGGUCCGUUGUAAGGGAAGGAAGGGGUUGGGAGGGGAAAGUUCACACUGUGACGGUAUCUUAACAAAAAGGGACGGCUAACUACGUG
Molecule: ribosomal RNA, 495 nt
Filed under: uncultured bacterium
Lineage: Bacteria
Description: partial 16S ribosomal RNA
Rfam family: Bacterial small subunit ribosomal RNA
Source: RNAcentral